RNAcentral lists this long non-coding RNA (1023 nucleotides) under Oryctolagus cuniculus (rabbit). RNAcentral's name for it is "lncRNA (ENSOCUG00000036319.1)". The record is from RNAcentral. Lineage: Eukaryota; Metazoa; Chordata; Mammalia; Lagomorpha; Leporidae.
AUGGGAAAAGGUGCCUGCCUCUAUGGACAAGCCUACAGGCUUCACGGAACAAUCGUGCGAGGGUCGGGCAGGCCCCGGCCGACGGGGCGGUGGGGAGCGGGGGAGGGAAGGGCAGGGCAGGGGUGGGCAGGCUGGGCCCGGGCGCCCCGAGACGGCUGGCGGAGGGGAGGGUGCGGGAGGCUGCCCCUUCCAGCCCUCCUGCGUGCGCGCCUCUCCUUCUCGCUCUUUUAUUCCGGCCGCUCGGUCUUGCCUGAGGUAAAUUCCACCAUGAAAGCCUCGUCUUCGCCCGUCAAUGGCUCCUGCGAGCGAAUCACAACCCCCCGAGGAAGCCGCCGCCGCCGCCACCACCGCCGCCGCCGCCGCCGCCGCCUCGUUCUCCCGCAGCUCUGGGCUCCGGGAGGCGCUCGGGCGUCGCGGGCCGAGGGCGGGGGGCGGCGGGAGGGCGGAUGUAGGUGGCCGGGGUGGGGGGUGAGCAGCGAGGCCGGCGAGACACCCGUUGCACCCCUCCCGGGAAGCACUUCCAGCGGCUCCGCGCAGACCAGACACAAAGGGGGGAGUCGCCGCAGCUGCCAGUCUGCGGCGCUCCCGGUCACCGGAGUCGCCCCGCCUCCGCCGCCGCCGCCGCCGCCGCCGCCGUCGCCGCCUUCGCCUCCGCCUCCGCCUCCGUCUCCGUCUCUUCCCGGCCCUGUCUGUCUCUGGCCUGUGGUGCAGCGCGGGCGGCGGCGCGACGAAGCCCACACUGCGCGUGCGCGCUCGCCGCCCCGCCCGGCCCCGCCCCGCGCCCGGGGCUGGCGGAGGACUCGGAGGCCCUCGCGCGGCGCGUCUCUGCCGUCCGCCGCCGAGCGCAGGGUGGGGCUGGCAAGCCGGUGGGCCGCAGUGGCCUUUGCCCCUCACACACGCGCACACACGUACACACAUCGCGUCCAUACGUGGAUGGCUUGGGAUUUGUGUGUACGUUUAGGAGAGGGCGGCCGCAUCUUUUGUCCCAGCGUUUGGCAAACUCUUGCGAGCCCCGUGAUUUAG